RNAcentral lists this ribosomal RNA (253 nucleotides) under uncultured bacterium. RNAcentral's name for it is "partial 16S ribosomal RNA". It matches the Rfam family "Bacterial small subunit ribosomal RNA", at positions 524 to 776 of the family's 1533-position model. The record is from RNAcentral.
GACAGAGGGGGCAAGCGUUGCUCGGAAUUACUGGGCGUAAAGGGUGCGUAGGCGGUCGGGUAAGUCUGAUGUGAAAUCCCCAAGCUCAACUUGGAAAUGGCAUCGGAUACUAUUCGGCUGGAGGAAUGGAGGGGAGACUGGAAUACUUGGUGUAGCAGUGAAAUGCGUAGAUAUCAAGUGGAACACCAGUGGCGAAGGCGAGUCUCUGGACAUUUCCUGACGCUGAGGCACGAAAGCCAGGGGAGCAAACGGG